RNAcentral lists this ribosomal RNA (370 nucleotides) under uncultured organism. Its description in RNAcentral is "partial 16S ribosomal RNA". It matches the Rfam family "Bacterial small subunit ribosomal RNA", at positions 527 to 896 of the family's 1533-position model. The record is from RNAcentral.
GUAGGUGGCAAGCGUUGUCCGGAAUUAUUGGGCGUAAAGCGCGCGCAGGCGGUUCUUUAAGUCUGAUGUGAAAGCCCACGGCUCAACCGUGGAGGGUCAUUGGAAACUGGAGAACUUGAGUACAGAAGAGGAAAGCGGAAUUCCACGUGUAGCGGUGAAAUGCGUAGAGAUGUGGAGGAACACCAGUGGCGAAGGCGGCUUUCUGGUCUGUAACUGACGCUGAGGCGCGAAAGCGUGGUGAGCAAACAGGAUUAGAUACCCUGGUAGUCCACGCCGUAAACGAUGAGUGCUAAGUGUUAGGGGGUUUCCGCCCCUUAGUGCUGCAGCUAACGCAUUAAGCGCUCCGCCUGGGAGUACGGCCGCAAGGCUG